Molecule: long non-coding RNA, 504 nt
Organism: Bactrocera neohumeralis
Lineage: Eukaryota; Metazoa; Arthropoda; Insecta; Diptera; Tephritidae
Exons: 2
Source: RefSeq, a predicted model, not a curated record
GUGCCGCCGGAUACUUGUGCUUGCCAGCUUCCUAGCUUCCUGCAACAAUUUGUGCUUUUCGCUGAUUUAGUACACACUCGGAGGCGGAAUCGAUCACUUGUAUGUCUCAAGUGAUUAAGGCGUAGGUUGCCGGAAAAUAAGUUGACCAAAAAAUAGCGUGUGAUAGUGCGACGUGCCAAAAAUCUGAAAAAAUUUCAAAAACAGCUAAAAAAUAAUAGCUAAUAACUAAAAAAGCAAAAAGAAAAAACUAAAUUAUUUUUGGUUUGUUCAGUUAUUUUGAGCACACUUAUACAUACAUACGUACGUACGCUCAAAAGUAUCUACAAACAUUUUUGAAAAAUUUGGACGUGCUGCAGUGGCUGGCCUUUCAAAUACGCACCGAAACGCACAAGGAACGCAAACGCGCAGUAUAACACAGAUUUCGUGUCGCGAGUGUGCAAAUAUUCCGCCUCGAGUUGUUGCACUCAGAACAAUUUAGGCCGCUUCCACUUCCGCUACAAAACA